Pelobates cultripes (western spadefoot toad) is the source of this 168-nucleotide non-coding RNA. NCBI's taxonomy places the organism in Eukaryota, Metazoa, Chordata, Amphibia, Anura, Pelobatidae. The record is from the annotation of a GenBank genome assembly.
GCAGACACAUUCCAGCCAAUGAGCAGCAGACCCUCCCUCCCAGACCCUCCCACCUCCUGGACAGCUCACUAAGAAUGCAGCUUCACAAUGAAUGUAAAAUGGAUGCUGUCCAGGAGGUGGGAGGGUCUUGGAGGGAGGGUCUGCUGCUGAUUGGCUGGAAUGUGUCUG